Molecule: ribosomal RNA, 388 nt
Filed under: uncultured bacterium
Lineage: Bacteria
Description: bacterial SSU rRNA
Rfam family: Bacterial small subunit ribosomal RNA
Source: RNAcentral
AUUGAACGCUGGCGGCAUGCCUUACACAUGCAAGUCGAACGGCAGCACGGGAGCAAUCCUGGUGGCGAGUGGCGAACGGGUGAGUAAUAUAUCGGAACGUGCCCAGUCGUGGGGGAUAACGUAGCGAAAGCUACGCUAAUACCGCAUACGAUCUAUGGAUGAAAGCGGGGGAUCGCAAGACCUCGCGCGAUUGGAGCGGCCGAUAUCAGAUUAGGUAGUUGGUGAGGUAAAGGCUCGCCAAGCCGACGAUCUGUAGCUGGUCUGAGAGGACGACCAGCCACACUGGGACUGAGACACGGCCCAGACUCCUACGGGAGGCAGCAGUGGGGAAUUUUUGGACAAUGGGCGCAAGCCUGAUCCAGCAAUGCCGCGUGCAGGAUGAAGGCCU